Molecule: transfer RNA, 74 nt
Filed under: Betaproteobacteria bacterium RIFCSPLOWO2_02_FULL_63_19
Lineage: Bacteria; Pseudomonadati; Pseudomonadota; Betaproteobacteria
Also listed under: 4 other names
Description: tRNA-Met
Rfam family: tRNA
About the family: Transfer RNA (tRNA) molecules are approximately 80 nucleotides in length.
Source: RNAcentral
GGGCCUGUAGCUCAGUCGGUUAGAGCAGGGGACUCAUAAUCCCUUGGUCGUAGGUUCGAGUCCUACCGGGCCCA